Long non-coding RNA from Bradysia coprophila, 914 nucleotides. RefSeq lists it as uncharacterized. Lineage: Eukaryota; Metazoa; Arthropoda; Insecta; Diptera; Sciaridae. The record is from RefSeq and is a predicted model, not a curated record.
UUUUUAUUCAAAUUUAGUUUGAAAUUCAACGAAGUACGUUUGAAAAUCGAGUUGCAGUAGUUAUCGUAGAGAAACUAGUGAUGUGGCCAAUAAAAUAAUCUACUGAGACACUGUCUUUCUAAAUCACGGGGUGUCAGACUGAUAAAAUGGAAAAUUGGGCGUCGCCGUAAAACGAAAAUUGAGUCAAUCAGACAACUACUUACGUCUUACGAGCGAAAACUUGAACAAAUAUUCGGAGAAGCGUCAUAGAUUUGAAUAGAUUUUGAACGAAAAUUAUUGUAGGAAAAGUACGUCCGAACAUCGACAUUACUCAAUCUAAAAUGGUCGAUUUGUCGAUACCGUGAUUUGGGAAACAUUUUUGUGCUUGAAUUAUCGAAGAUACGUAAGAGAAACGAUAAAUUGUUCUCGAAAAACCUCUUCGAAAUUUUCAUGUACCGCAAAAGUUGUCCCAACCACUGUCAGAAUCGGCGAUGUUAGACUUAGCAAAGAUUGUGUCUGGAUGAUCCUCUCCUAAAAUCAUUUUUCGUUUCUCUAAAAUCUCUUCGAACCUUUGCAGCGCCUCCGAAUAUUUGCCCAAGACUGCAGUACCGAUCAGCGACUUCGAAUUUCGUACUGAUUGUGGUACAAUCAAUAAUAAUUUUGAAAUCGCUGAUUCGUAAACAAUUGGGGCAAAUAUGCGGAGACACUCCAAAGGUUCGCAGAGCUUUUAGAAAAAUGAAAAACCAUUUUUGGAGAGGGUCAUCGAGACACAAUCAUUGCUAAGCCUACCAUCGUUGAUGUACGAGAAACGAAAAACCAACUCAGGAGUUGAUCACCCUUCACCAUUACAUUAAGUUUGACAAAAUAAUUGUCUUAGUCAUUUGUGUCAGAUUUGUAGCUUUUAUGAUUUGUAAUUAAACGACACAUCAAACGAU